This 45-nucleotide non-coding RNA is filed under the name Schistosoma curassoni. The record is from RNAcentral. Lineage: Eukaryota; Metazoa; Platyhelminthes; Trematoda; Strigeidida; Schistosomatidae.
AUCCAGCUGAUUAGUCCCAAAUAGGACGAAACGCGCAUCCUGGAU